UGCGUAGGUGGCAGUGCAAGUCAGAUGUGAAAGGCCGGGGCUCAACCCCGGAGCUGCAUUUGAAGCUGCUCGGCUAGAGUACAGGAGAGGCAGGCGGAAUUCCUAGUGUAGCGGUGAAAUGCGUAGAUAUUAGGAGGAACACCAGUGGCGAAGGCGGCUUACUGGACGGUAACUGACGUUGAGGCUCGAAAGCGUGGGAGCAAACA
Molecule: ribosomal RNA, 206 nt
Filed under: uncultured bacterium
Lineage: Bacteria
Description: partial 16S ribosomal RNA
Rfam family: Bacterial small subunit ribosomal RNA
Source: RNAcentral